AGGGCCUUAGCUUAAUAAAAGUGUCUGAUUUGCAGUCAGGAGAUGUGAGUUAAUACCUUGCAGGUCUUA
Molecule: transfer RNA, 69 nt
Filed under: Puntius sahyadriensis (Khavli barb)
Lineage: Eukaryota; Metazoa; Chordata; Actinopteri; Cypriniformes; Cyprinidae
Description: tRNA-Ala
Rfam family: tRNA
About the family: Transfer RNA (tRNA) molecules are approximately 80 nucleotides in length. Their secondary structure includes four short double-helical elements and three loops (D, anti-codon, and T loops).
Source: RNAcentral